AACGAACGCUGGCGGCAUGCCUAACACAUGCAAGUCGAACGAGACCUUCGGGUCUAGUGGCGCACGGGUGCGUAACGCGUGGGAACCUGCCCUUAGGUUUGGAAUAACUCCCCGAAAGGGGUGCUAAUACCGGAUAAUGUCUUCGGACCCAAGAUUUAUCGCCUUUGGAUGGGCCCGCGUUGGAUUAGCUGGUUAGUAGGGUAAAAGCCUACCACGGGGACGAUCCAUAGCUGGUCUGAGAGGCGGGUCAGCCACACUGGGGCUGGGACACGGCCCAGACUCCUACGGGAGGCGGCAGUGGGGAAUAUUGGACAAUGGGCGGAAGCCUGAUCCAGCAAUGCCGCGUGAGUGAUGAAAGCCUUGGGGUUGUAAAGCUCUUUUACCCGGGAUGAUAUUGACGGUACCGGGAGAAUAAGCUCCGGCUAACUCCGUG
Molecule: ribosomal RNA, 433 nt
Filed under: uncultured bacterium
Lineage: Bacteria
Description: partial 16S ribosomal RNA
Rfam family: Bacterial small subunit ribosomal RNA
Source: RNAcentral